AGGCUGAGCAUCAACUCUGUGUGUCCUCGGGGGCUGAGGCAGUAAAUUGGUCGUUUUCCCCCUGCCUCUGGGCUGGCCCGGGAAGCCGCGGGGUUAGAGGCGCUUCGUCCCCGAGGCUGGUCUGGGUGACACGAGCCUGCGGGGCCGAGCCCGAGGCCUGGAGAUAGGACCCGCCAGCAAGUAUGCAAGGAAUGUUUUUCUUCGGAUUCUACCGAGGCGCACGGGCCAUGGGGAUCCUGUCUGCGGUGACAGCCCUAACAUUUGCCAGAGCCCUGGACGCUGCUGCAGAAAUGGCAUUGCCCACCCGGAAAGUGAGAAGAUCGUGUAAGGAGGCCAAAGGAUGGUUUUCCGAGGCAUUUCGUCAAGGGGAGAGAAACGGCUGCUUGGAAAUGAGCUCUUAGAGUCAGCCCGGCACUCACUCUCGGGAUCAGUACCAGAGGACACCAGAUGUCUACAUGCAGAAGAAAAAAAUCAUUUGGAGUAGAAAAGCCCACCCCUUCCCCACACCCGAUGCGUGGUAGGUAU
This 525-nucleotide long non-coding RNA is filed under the name Sus scrofa (pig). Its description in RNAcentral is "lncRNA (ENSSSCG00055014977.1)". Lineage: Eukaryota; Metazoa; Chordata; Mammalia; Artiodactyla; Suidae. The record is from RNAcentral.